UAAGUAUUAUCAUAAAUUAWUUUUUAUUGAUUUUUAGCUUAUUGCUUUCUCCAGUUCCUGUUUGUCUUUGGAAAGGAGCAUCUUUGGUCUGUGCAUGGACAAGGGCAGCUCAUGGAGAACAGCCCUUUCUGUAGGAACAGAUCCACUCCCGCACUGGCAACAACAGGAGGAACAGAAUGAAAAGCAGUGCCUUUUCAAACCAGGAUCAAUGGCCCCGUCUGCUUGGCAGUGAGAAGUGGAGUCUCAGUCUUUGAUGAGGACUUGAAGGGCUCCAAGACCUUCGAUGGUCACUGAUGGGAGAUCACAUUCAGGCAACCCCAGGGAUCCCCCUGGKCUGGCAGCCUAUGGAUAAAAUCUGUGAGAGUGUCUUAAUAUCCUCAAAAAAUUGCCAUGGCCAGUUGGAUCGUGGGGACGACACAGUCAUCUCAAAAUAAAGGUCUGCCCUGCUGACUGAUAGGCUUGAAAAAUUGCAACAAAUGCUGAUGCACAGCUCAUUUAUACGAGACACAACUGGUGGUGGAAAAUGCUCUGUCCUGGAAAUGUGCACAUAUGUUUUAUUUCUACCUUCAUUGAACAGAAGAGAGAAUUUUGUAUUCCUGUAGYUUUUAUAACUCUUCUGUCACCCUGCUAUAACUUGUGGCAAAACUUUAGCCUUGAGGAACUGAGGYGGGGGAGCUUUUAUCAAGGGGGCUYCUUCAUGCCACAGGUCCAACCAAGAGGCACUGCCAGGGCAUAGGUUCAAAUGGUGAUGCAAAAAUUGGAAAAGCAGCAAAUUUUAUUAUCCCUGUACUUGUGGGGCAGACUGAGGAUCUUUAAUGGCUUUUGAUGUCUUGGGGACAGAGCUGUCAGGGCUGUUUCUUGUCAUCUCUGUGUCUUGCAUAGCUUUUGGGGUUGUAUGGGAGGAGAUCACAGCAGAGAGAAAGGMAGAUACAGACCACUCUGUUCUUAGCCUCUUGGCUAAACUCCAAGUAUUUUAARCAUUUCUGCUAGGGGUCGAUUCCCCCAGCGAGCCCCACAGCUCUCAUCUCUGACAGCUGUAAAUCAAAGACUGUUCACAGGAGAUCAGCACAUGCCAAUAUUGUUUUAGACUUUAUGGCAUGUGCACUUCAUAUAUCGAUAGCAACGGGCCAUCUCUCCCUGCAAGCCCUUUAGUGCUCCUGUGAUUGUGUUUUGAUUUAGUGGACAGGAGAGAAAAGCACAAUGAAAGUCAGGAAAAUGAUUAAAUGCAAAGAUUUGUUCAUCUUGUGAGACCCCUUGUAAAUAAUUUAGCACAGAUCUUUAACAAGUCGCACUCCAAAGGGAAAAAAGAUCUUUAACAAGAUUUCACACUCCAAAGGAAAAAGUAGGUCCACUUUAAACCCUGCUUUUUCAAUUUGGAUGUUUAAAUCAGUACUGUAGUCUUUUAAAGCAGCCAGACUCUGUAGAAAUUGCCAUAGAGAGACAGAUACAGAGUUCUGGUUGCCAAGUGUAAAGGAGAAAAAUGUGAGAAACUCUAUAACAGGCAAACAUGGGGUAAUCUCCCUUCCCCCAGAAGAGCUCAUCCAAGCCUUGGAGACAAGUUAAAAUAUUAAAUCAAGAGGCUUUGCCCUUCCCA
This is a long non-coding RNA of Malurus melanocephalus (red-backed fairy wren), 1594 nucleotides long. RefSeq lists it as uncharacterized. Lineage: Eukaryota; Metazoa; Chordata; Aves; Passeriformes; Maluridae. The transcript is spliced from 3 exons. The record is from RefSeq and is a predicted model, not a curated record.